AAAACAUAGCCCUAGAUAUUAUCUAAGGUGUGACCUGCCCAAUGAUUUUUAAGCUAAAAAUGAGAAAAACAUUUUAAUAAAAUUUAAAGGACGCAGUAACCUUGACUGUGAUAAUGUAGCAUAAUCACUCGCCAUUUAAUUGAUGGAUAGUAUGAAUGGUUAAACGAAUAUCUCACUGUCUUAAAGAGAAAAACCAAAAAACUAAAAUAAUAGUUAAGAUGCUAUUUAAAAUUAUAAGACGAAAAGACCCUAUAGAGCUUAACUAUUUUUUCUUUUUCACUAGAAAAGAAUUUCUUUUAUAAAUAAAGAAAAAGGUAGUUUAGUUGGGGCGACUAUCUUCUAGAAAUAACGAAGAUAAGCAAAGUUAAUAAAAAAACUUAUUGUAUAAAUUAUAUUUUUAACAAUUACUAUUGUAGGCUAUAGUGACCCGUUAAUAUCAUAUAAAAAGAAUUAACGAUCAAUAAAUAAAAGCUACCUUAGGGAUAACAGGAUUAUUUCAUUUUAGAGAUCUAAUCGAAAAUGAAGUUUGUCACCUCUAUGUUGAAUUAAGAUAUCCUAAUAAUGCAGAAGUUAUUGAAGGUAG
Molecule: ribosomal RNA, 583 nt
Filed under: Melicertum octocostatum
Lineage: Eukaryota; Metazoa; Cnidaria; Hydrozoa; Leptothecata; Melicertidae
Description: partial 16S ribosomal RNA
Rfam family: Bacterial large subunit ribosomal RNA
Source: RNAcentral